GUAUGCAGGUCUAGGUAGCUUCGUAACAGCCAUGGCGCACAAUAGAGCUUCAGAGGGCGAUCGCGAUGGCCGUUGUUGAACUGAAUCGCGAUCAACCAAGGGUUAGUUCUCUACUGAGCGAUUCGGCAUAUUUGGAUUCCACUACUAUGAUUUCUCCGUUAUUUCCAUUCGCCGGCUCAAUUGCUACCGAACUGCACCUAUUUAGUUGGUCUAGUUCAGAGUUACGCAUUUUUUUUCACCAGGGUGUGAUUCUGAACUAAUUUGUUUGGGCCCCAUGGAUCUUGGUGGUUAAUUUUAUAUCCUUACGCACUCGAAUCAAAGUAAACCUAUACAUCCUAACCACCAUCUCAGUACCUCUUAACAGAACCAUUUGCCUCUUAUUUCUAUACAUCUAUUAGUCGCCAUGGCUCUUAGUUAUUUUGCAUGCCAUUUGGAGUUAACUUCGCAUGUAAGUGUUGUUCACUAUUGUAAAUAUUUAGUUUCAUGUGUAAACUUGUUGAGAUAUUAACAUUAGAAGCUUACACCAGCCAGGUUGACGAGCGGUGGCUCCGUGCCAUGGAUAUCGUAUGUUGGUGAUGCAUUUUUUUGUUGGAUUUAUAUGGCCUCAAAUGCUGCUGCUAUAAUACUUGAGUUCUGCAAUGUAUGUUCUAUUAUGUUGUCAGGUCAACUUGAUUAGACUUUCAUUUGACACAUUUCUAUUUGGAUUAAUUUGUUGCAACCUUAGGUUUAUUGUUGUUUUAUACUAGAUACUUUGUUAUUCUCAUUUGUAAGCACAAUAAGAUUUAAGUAUAUUGGAAAGCAUGUAAUUUGUUUUUUAAGUUUCUUCUACUAUCUAUUCAUUUCUACAAAUGUCUAAUGAUGUUGUGAAUAUGGUAGGUAUGAUUGGGUAGCAUGCUACUUGCUGAUGUCCAUCACAAUCCGCCAUGACAUAUAGUUGCCAUCAGGAGAGUCGACGACAAGAACACGAGUGACAACCUUAGUAGUUUAUAUGUUUUGUUGAUGUAAAUUGGAUUGAACCAGUUCCUAAUCCUUG
This 1033-nucleotide long non-coding RNA is filed under the name Triticum aestivum (bread wheat). RNAcentral's name for it is "long non-coding RNA (TAES_LNC024734)". The record is from RNAcentral. Lineage: Eukaryota; Viridiplantae; Streptophyta; Magnoliopsida; Poales; Poaceae.